GAUGAACGCUGGCGGCGUGCUUAACACAUGCAAGUCGAACGAACCUUUCGGGGUUAGUGGCGGACGGGUGAGUAACGCGUGAGGAUCUGCCCUUAGGAGGGGGACAACUUUUGGAAACGGAAGCUAAUACCCCAUAUGGCGAGAGCUGAAACUUUUUGGCCUGAGGAUGAACUCGCGUCUGAUUAGCUAGUUGGUGGGGUAAGAGCUUACCAAGGCGACGAUCAGUAGCUGUUCUGAGAGGAAGAUCAGCCACACUGGGACUGAGACACGGCCCAGACUCCUACGGGAGGCAGCAGUGGGGGAAUUUUCCGCAAUGGGCGCAAGCCUGACGGAGCAACGCCGCGUGAGGGAGGAAUGUCUGUGGAUUGUAAACCUCUUUUCUCUGUGAAGAAGAUCUGACGGUAGCAGAGGAAUCAGCAUCGGCUAACUCCGUGCCAGCCGCCGCGGUAAU
Molecule: ribosomal RNA, 451 nt
Filed under: uncultured bacterium
Lineage: Bacteria
Description: bacterial SSU rRNA
Rfam family: Bacterial small subunit ribosomal RNA
Source: RNAcentral